Molecule: ribosomal RNA, 253 nt
Filed under: uncultured bacterium
Lineage: Bacteria
Description: partial 16S ribosomal RNA
Rfam family: Bacterial small subunit ribosomal RNA
Source: RNAcentral
UACGUAGGGUGCGAGCGUUAAUCGGAAUUACUGGGCGUAAAGGGUGCGCAGGCGGCGUCGCAAGUCAGGCGUGAAAUCCCCGGGCUUAACCUGGGAACUGCACUUGAAACUACGAUGCUGGAGUAUGGCAGAGGGAGGUGGAAUUCCACGUGUAGCGGUGAAAUGCGUAGAGAUGUGGAGGAACACCGAUGGCGAAGGCAGCCUCCUGGGCCAAUACUGACGCUCGUGCACGAAAGCGUGGGGAGCAAACAGG